UUCGGGGUACUCGAGUGGCGAACGGGUGAGUAACACGUGGGUGAUCUGCCCUGCACUUUGGGAUAAGCCUGGGAAACUGGGUCUAAUACCGAAUAGGACCACGCGCUUCAUGGUGUGUGGUGGAAAGCUUUUGCGGUGUGGGAUGGGCCCGCGGCCUAUCAGCUUGUUGGUGGGGUAAUGGCCUACCAAGGCGACGACGGGUAGCCGGCCUGAGAGGGUGACCGGCCACACUGGGACUGAGAUACGGCCCAGACUCCUACGGGAGGCAGCAGUGGGGAAUAUUGCACAAUGGGCGCAAGCCUGAUGCAGCGACGCCGCGUGAGGGAUGACGGCCUUCGGGUUGUAAACCUCUUUCAAUAGGGACGAAGCGNGAGUGACGGUACCUAUAGAAGAAGCACCGGCCAACUACGUGCCAGCAGCCGCGGUAAUACGUAGGGUGCGAGCGUUGUCCGGAAUUACUGGGCGUAAAGAGCUCGUAGGUGGUUUGUCGCGUUGUUCGUGAAAACUCACAGCUUAACUGUGGGCGUGCGGGCGAUACGGGCAGACUAGAGUACUGCAGGGGAGACUGGAAUUCCUGGUGUAGCGGUGGAAUGCGCAGAUAUCAGGAGGAACACCGGUGGCGAAGGCGGGUCUCUGGGCAGUAACUGACGCUGAGGAGCGAAAGCGUGGGGAGCGAACAGGAUUAGAUACCCUGGUAGUCCACGCCGUAAACGGUGGGUACUAGGUGUGGGUUCCUUCCUUGGGAUCCGUGCCGUAGCUAACGCAUUAAGUACCCCGCCUGGGGAGUACGGCCGCAAGGCUAAAACUCAAAGGAAUUGACGGGGGCCCGCACAAGCGGCGGAGCAUGUGGAUUAAUUCGAUGCAACGCGAAGAACCUUACCUGGGUUUGACAUGCACAGGACGCCGGCAGAGAUGUCGGUUCCCUUGUGGCCUGUGUGCAGGUGGUGCAUGGCUGUCGUCAGCUCGUGUCGUGAGAUGUUGGGUUAAGUCCCGCAACGAGCGCAACCCUUGUCCUAUGUUGCCAGCGGGUUAUGCCGGGGACUCGUAGGAGACUGCCGGGGUCAACUCGGAGGAAGGUGGGGAUGACGUCAAGUCAUCAUGCCCCUUAUGUCCAGGGCUUCACACAUGCUACAAUGGCCGGUACAAAGGGCUGCGAUGCCGUGAGGUGGAGCGAAUCCUUUCAAAGCCGGUCUCAGUUCGGAUCGGGGUCUGCAACUCGACCCCGUGAAGUCGGAGUCGCUAGUAAUCGCAGAUCAGCAACGCUGCGGUGAAUACGUUCCCGGGCCUUGUACACACCGCCCGUCACGUCAUGAAAGUCGGUAACACCCGAAGCC
This 1334-nucleotide ribosomal RNA is filed under the name Mycobacterium sp. DWMJ-1228A2. RNAcentral describes it as "bacterial SSU rRNA". It matches the Rfam family "Bacterial small subunit ribosomal RNA", at positions 81 to 1428 of the family's 1533-position model. Lineage: Bacteria; Bacillati; Actinomycetota; Actinomycetes; Mycobacteriales; Mycobacteriaceae. The record is from RNAcentral.